UGACCACUUCGAUUUCUUAUGAAGUUAAGACCCAGACGGACAGGCGGGUCAGCUGCCGA
RNAcentral lists this small RNA (59 nucleotides) under unclassified sequences. Its description in RNAcentral is "Streptococcus sRNA SpF59 (ldcC RNA)". It matches the Rfam family "Streptococcus sRNA SpF59 (ldcC RNA)". The record is from Rfam by way of RNAcentral.